Solea senegalensis (Senegalese sole) is the source of this 2105-nucleotide long non-coding RNA. RefSeq lists it as uncharacterized. NCBI's taxonomy places the organism in Eukaryota, Metazoa, Chordata, Actinopteri, Pleuronectiformes, Soleidae. The record is from RefSeq and is a predicted model, not a curated record. The transcript has 3 exons.
GUAUAUAUGUAUACAUAUGUAUGUCUGUGUAUGAUGAAAACCAGAAAUUCUCACACAAAAAAAGGUGACUAAUGUCAUAUUCAAUGUAAUGCUGCAUUAAUACUGUUCAUAGUAACAUUAUGCAGACUUUUACAUCAAACUCCAGUAGUACAUAGAAACUCUCGUGUCAUUUGUGUUUCUGCAAAGUGCUUUUUUAAAAAAACAAUUGUAAAAAUAACUAGCUGGGACAUUUAUGACACUGAUACCACAACUUUUCUUUCUACCAAUAAUAAUAUCAGUCUGAUACAAUAUUAAAAAACACCUGAGCUGUUAAACUAAUAUUCUGCUUACACAUAGGACAAAGUAAACAGACUAUUAAAAUGCUGCUGCUGCUUUUGUAUUUGAACAAAUUUUCUUUUAUCUUCAAACCAGUCCAAACGGCUGUCCUAACCUACUUUUUCCUCUUUCUCUGAUAUCCGAUCCAGAGAUUUUGACUUUCACUGUAUGACGGAUUCUGAUACCGAGUAUCUUAUUGGCUCAUCCCUUCUAUGAACUGGACUCAUCCUCAAUGACUCAGGUAAUCAGGACUCGACUCGACUGGAGAAUCGACUCGGACUUGAGGGUCAGUGACUCGACUACAACACUGGAACCUGAACACUGCGCUGACAAACACUCCAGUUUCCCUCUUAGAAAAUCAGUUUUCUCAGUGAAGCUGAGUGAAACCAUUAUAUUGUCUUUGGGGUUUUUUGUGGACACUUAAUGUGUGUUUUUGCUUUACUUUUGUACAGAGUUCAGCCUGUUGUGUUUCUGCCAAAGUUGUUAUUAUUAAUAAUACAGUGUAUCUUACGUUAUACUCAUGAAGAAUACGAUGCUUGGUAAAGUUUUAGUACUGAGGGAUUGGUAGAAGUUUUCAAAAGGGAUAAAUAAACUUUUUAAAUAAAUACGUUGUCACAGAAUGAGUGGUUUAUUAACACCAAUGACGUCUUGCUGUUUUAUGUUGAACCUUGAACGCAUCACCUGUUUUCCCUGAGAUAUACUGCUUCCUGCAGAUGGACUCGAGCCAUUGUUUUAACUUGAAAACAUGAGGUAUGACUGGAAUUACCCGGAUUUUCCGUACCGAUGUUUUCACAACUCCAGGUGACUGAUGUCAUGCAGUACUUUAAUGCAAAAUUCUGAACCAAAACGAUGCCAUUUUGGUAGGAAGCCGCACUUUUUUUUAAAUCACUAGACGUAUUUGUAUAUAUACUGUGCAAUAUGUCAGGCAACUCUCGGUCUCUAAAUCGUUUUGUUUUCAUUAGACGUGAAGAUGGUGGAUAGCUGUUGUGCCCCCAGGGUGCUAAAACUAUUGAGGACAAGCUAACGGUGAGCACCGAAGAUCUACAGGCAUCGGAUUGUUACCUGAUAUGAAGUGAUGACUUCACAAGAACAGAUUCCAGCUAAUUAAAAGUUUCAUGUCAGAUUGAGUAGAUUGAGUAGUGAACGUGAACUAACGGCUUAAACGGGCAUGGCGUCGUUGGUUGAUGAAGUGAUGCUCUUCCUUUGUCAGUGUUUCUUGACAGUUUGUAAUAAAGUUAAGUUAAAAACGGUUGCCCGCCCAGCUUUGUUUUUUCAUUGGUAUCAAUAACAAGCCCCGCCCCGAACAAUUCCCGCGUUCACACAAUUCCUUCUUUCUGAUUGGUUGACACAUGCGCGCGCGCCAAUAUUCAACUUCCUUACUAAAGCUACCUCCGCGUUGGCUCCGUCAGUGCAGCGGAGCAGAGGCUUCCCUCUCCUGCAAAACCUGGACCGGAUACAUGGAGGGACUGGGCUGGACUGGAUUCGGUUUUCUGUUAAAACCGUCCAGCAGGAGGCAGAAGAAACUGUCAUGUGAUGGAGGAAUGCACAGUGCAUGAACAGUGCAUGAACAGUGCAUGAAUGAAGGGGACGUGGCCUCAAGAGCCCUGCAGUAAGUAAGUGUGUGUUACAGUUUUUACUGUAUUUGCAUCAAAUCUGAUCUGUUUCAGACAACGAUGAUGCUACAAUAUAUUAUUUACCAACUGGAUUUCUGGAAAGUUCCCACUUUUGAAAGUUCCCCAAGACAACAGUUUACAUGAUCCCCCAAACUAGGUCCUUUCUCAUUGUUUUGA